This is a non-coding RNA of Nelumbo nucifera (sacred lotus), 3516 nucleotides long. Lineage: Eukaryota; Viridiplantae; Streptophyta; Magnoliopsida; Proteales; Nelumbonaceae. The record is from RefSeq and is a predicted model, not a curated record.
CUCCCCAAAAUUUUGGCCUGCGUUCCCUCCAUUCUCUCUCUCCCUCUUAACCCAAUGACCUAUUUCUAAACCUCCAUUCUCUCUCUCUCUCUCUUUUGUUGCUAUUCCUUCCCCGCUAUUGUUUUCUCUCUUCCUUUCCCCCUCUCUCCUCCUCUGUCAUUCUCCGUUGUCACCUUUAUUUUUCCCCUCUCUCUCUCUCCUAUGGGUUUGCAAAUAAAAGGUGUGCAUACCUCUAUUUCAAUAGAGUCUCAUUUCAAUAAACAGGCAUUGGGGUUUGCAAAGUAACGAUGUGUAAAGAAAGUAUAAAUCUGAAAAGCAUAAGUUACUACCUUCUUAGAUCAAACUCUUGUGCUGUUUCCUUAUACUUUACCUAAAUCUAUAAGUGUAUUUGUGUUAUUUGAUUACUGUGCAUUUUAGGAAGUAACUCAAUUCUUUGUGGGAUUAUAUGUGUUAGCCGCUCAGAAAAUGCCUUUACUUCUUAGGUGAUUAAAAACUGAAAAAUUUACCAUGAUGGAUAAACUAUAAACUAAUAGCAUGUUUCCUAAAUGAUGGUAUAAGGUUCACCAAAAGAGUUAUUAGAAGGUAUUCUAUGAAGAUUCACCAUUGUGGUUUGUUUUCCAUAUUCUAUUGUCAUCUUCCGAAGGCACAAUUGAGCCCUAUAAAGGUGCACGAAGAUGUGUUGUGGAAGGUCAGUCCAGAUGAAACCAGAAUAAAUAAUGGAAAAUCAAAAGAUUUGAAAAUAAAACAGUUUUUCAUUUUUUGAGCCAAUGCAUGUCCUUACAAUGUUCGUGGCUGAGAAAUGUAGGAAUUACUUGAACAAUUAUGCUCUGGUGUUUUAGGAAUUUUUCAUUUACCCCUAUAAUUUCAUUAAUAUAUAUUUUGUUCAUUUACUUCAAUAACGGUAUGAAUGUAUUGAUCUAAACAGAUGAAGAUUGUAUGUUUGCAUAUUUUGGAUAUGAUCCAGGGGGUGUCAUUCAUUCCGUGAUUUUUUGGAUAAUUUAUAAGAUCAGAAGAGCUUGUUAGUAACUAAAUAAAGCUUUAAAAAUAUACAAUCAUGUCUAGAACCAGAUAAUGGCUAGAAAAAAAAAAGUUCUGAAAUAGAAAAACCCAAACCAAUUGGGCCUAAAAUUAGCCAAUAAGACCUCUCUUAAAUACUGUUAAAAAUUCUUUUCUCUAGAGACCUGGAUUUUCUAAUGUAUUUAUCAAAGUUUAGUUUCACAACUUGAGGGGGAGGCGUCCAAACUUGGUUGAGCUCCUACUUGACUGAAGGUGAACAUGCUAAGUGGGUCCAUCUCUAGAUAAUGUCAUCUAUAUAAAAGUCUAGUGCUCGGAUUUUAAGUAUCUCUAAUGGUGAUGGUAUCCAUCGGCCCUUUGGUCAACUAUUCCUUCUAUCACAAUAUUAUAACAUUUGUUUCCAUCAUUUUUUAUUUUUUCAUUAUACUAAUAUUACAGUUAAGUAACAUACAUAUAUAAAGACAAAGGAGUGUCUUUAUCAUGUAUAGAGAAUAGCAAUUAGUUUGGUAGUUAAGCACACUUAUUAAUUUUUCUUUUGAGUAAAGCAUACAGGCCAAUUGGGUUGGGAGAGGGUUAGACUGCAAACUACAGGCCUGGGCAGGGAUUUGAAUAGUUUUAGGUCCAAUCUCACCAACCCAAUUAUAUAAUUAUAAAAAAGAUAAAGGUGCCUACCUAUUUUCAGUCAAGUUUAUCAUGUUAUCAUCUCACAUACAAAAUAAGCAGCUUAUUAAUAAUAUUAUCAAUUAUGUAAUUUAUUGACAUAAAUUGGGGUUGACCUAACCUGACCUAAUAUUAUUGACAUAAUAUUACUGCCGACCCAGGCCUGUAGUUUUUCCCCCAAGGAAGAACUGGUGGAGUUUCUUCAAGGAUCAAAACUAACCUUCUCAUGGGCUUGAAUGGUUUGAUGCUAGAAUUAAGCUACCAAGUGGUGAUUACUUGGUUGUGCUCUAUUUCAGAUCCCCAGGCCCUUUAGAUUGUUGAUAAGCAAAGGUUUGCCAAUGUUGAGAUAGCCAAUAUUUCUAAGUUUUCUAUCAUAUUUAUGGAAUUGAAUUGGAUUCUCUUGGGGACCACUGGUUAUGCUUUCAUUCUGUAGUUGUAGACUCACGAAGGCUUGAAUACUGCAAGCUUCAAGGUAAAAUUUCAUUAUGCCAAAAUCUUUUUAUUAAGAAAAGAUUUACAUAUGAGCAGGGAUGCCACUUAGUCAUGUUAGGUUGGAUUUUGGACCAACCCAGUCCCAAUGCUAAGACUUGGGCCUUGGUUCUGGGCCUAGCCCAACCUAAGGUCAAAGCCUAAUCCAAUCUCAAUCCAUAGUUUAAAAAUACAAGCCUAAUUGGGUCUGCUUAUAUAUAUUUUAGACUUAUUUUCUUAUUGAAUUUUUAUUUUAUUAUAAAAAGAAAAUUACUGCUAUGGCAUAAUAUGAAAAUCUAUGAAAAUUCCGACUUUUAGGUAUCUAGGAAAAUUUUUGAGCUAAAGACUAUUUUUUUUUUUAUCAAUAACAAGCUAAAGACUACUAUUGGUGUUGGGCUGAUGCAUCAUCAAGACAAUUUGUUAAAGAUUAUCAACUAUGAAUAUAAACGGUGGAGCUUUUUGGUCAGUCCAAACUUAUUCUAUUAAAUGGAGUUUCUUGUUUCUUAAGGGUUGUAAUGUGGGAAUUUCUUCCAUGGAAUUUUCUUCUUCCCAUCUCUAUCCAUUUUUUCCAUUAAGCUAAAAAAAUAGAAAGAUAUUAGUGGUAUUUAUUAGUUGAAUUCAUGUUUAAUACUUGAACUUUUUAUCUUCGAAACCUUGAAGGUGAGGAAGGAAAAAUCCAUAUAUAUAUCAUACACUGAAAAUGCAUAGCUUUGAUUUAACAAAGAAACUUCUUGUUGUAGAGGAUUGGAGCCUUUUAUUUCUCUUUUUGCUACAAAUCAGGUAUUCUUCCUUUAAAUGUUCAAUACUUCUCUAGUUCAACAUAUAUCAUACCCUUAAUAAAUCAUCUAUGUCAAAAUAUUUUACUAAACCCUUAAUAUAUCAUUCUUUGUUUUGUGCAGAUUCAAGAUGCCUUACAAUGAGUAGCAUUUGACAGCAACUCAAAAGUUGGAUCCAUAUUCCAGGCCUUGAAUAUGAAGGAAUAUACACUAACAUAUUUCCAAACAAAUAAAUUUAUUUAUGCUUUUCAAGAGAUUCUUGAUGCAUAUGGAUCUUGCAUUCAUUUUAGAACCUUCCCUUUCUUUGUCUAAAAAUUUGAAUUUGGCUCUUGUUAAGUCUUCUGGUCUACACAAUAUGAAUUCCAGGCAAGGCAAAAGAAGUCCUGCAAAGAAGGAUUUGAAGAUCGAAGCUUAUGAUCCAAAGCAAAAAUCUUGAGUGUGAUGCACGUGCAUAUUUGCAACUAUUCAGAUGCAAUGAGGAUAAUUUUGUUAAUUUUCUUUUCUUUUAUUAGUGAUGAAAAAGAAUAUAUAAAAUGUAUAUAUUGAACAAAGACCAUUAUGGAUAUAGUGUAAAUGUGUACAUGUUUUAUUUGUAAAA